RNAcentral lists this ribosomal RNA (424 nucleotides) under uncultured prokaryote. RNAcentral describes it as "bacterial SSU rRNA". It matches the Rfam family "Bacterial small subunit ribosomal RNA", at positions 355 to 796 of the family's 1533-position model. The record is from RNAcentral.
UGGGGAAUAUUGGACAAUGGGGGCAACCCUGAUCCAGCCAUGCCGCGUGAGUGAUGAAGGCCUUGGGGUUGUAAAGCUCUUUCGCCGGUGAAGAUAAUGACGGUAACCGGUAAAGAAGCCCCGGCUAACUUCGUGCCAGCAGCCGCGGUAAUACGAAGGGGGCUAGCGUUGUUCGGAAUUACUGGGCGUAAAGCGCGCGUAGGCGGACUAUUAAGUCAGGGGUGAAAUCCCGGGGCUCAACCACGGAAUUGCCAUUGAUACUGGUAGUCUAGAGUCCGUGAGAGGUGAGUGGAACUCCGAGUGUAGAGGUGAAAUUCGUAGAUAUUGGGUGGAACACCAGUGGCGAAAGCGGCUCUCUGGUCCGGAUCUGACGCUGAGGCGCGAAAGCGUGGGGAGCAAACAGGAUUAGAUACCCGCGUAGUCC